GACCUAGUAGCGGAGGGACCGCGCCUGCUUUCAGUGUGUACGAAUAGAAGUCUCAAGUAAAAGUUCCUGGUUCGACUCCAGGCUGGGUCA
Non-coding RNA from Mycena epipterygia, 90 nucleotides. The record is from the annotation of a GenBank genome assembly. NCBI's taxonomy places the organism in Eukaryota, Fungi, Basidiomycota, Agaricomycetes, Agaricales, Mycenaceae.